UACGGAGGGUGCGAGCGUUGUCCGGAAUCAUUGGGCGUAAAGGGCGCGUAGGUGGCCCGGUCAGUUCGUGGUGAAAGCGCGGGGCUCAACCCUGCGUCGGCCAUGAAUACUGCCGCGGCUGGAGCACUGUAGAGGCAGGCGGAAUUCCGGGUGUAGCGGUGGAAUGCGUAGAGAUCCGGAGGAACACCAGCGGCGAAGGCGGCGCUCUGGGCCGGAACUGACGCUGAGGAGCGAAAGCGUGGGUAGCAAACAGG
RNAcentral lists this ribosomal RNA (254 nucleotides) under uncultured bacterium. RNAcentral describes it as "partial 16S ribosomal RNA". It matches the Rfam family "Bacterial small subunit ribosomal RNA", at positions 524 to 776 of the family's 1533-position model. The record is from RNAcentral.